Rhinolophus ferrumequinum (greater horseshoe bat) is the source of this 6896-nucleotide RNA transcript. It is a transcript of the gene named RAP1 GTPase activating protein 2, with no coding region annotated. The transcript has 26 exons. The record is from RefSeq and is a predicted model, not a curated record. NCBI's taxonomy places the organism in Eukaryota, Metazoa, Chordata, Mammalia, Chiroptera, Rhinolophidae.
GGCUCCAGGGGUGGGGCGGGCCGCCACACUAGGGGGACACUGACCGCACCGCGGAUGCUCGCCCCGCUUUGCCUCACGCCCGCCCCACCCGCUGGGCCCGGCGCCGCACCCUGCGACAGCGAGCACGCCCUCGGCACUGGCCUGCGGCAGCCGGAGCAGCCUCGGCCGUGCGGCCCGAGGCGGGCAGGGAGAGGGUGGCGGCCGGGAGAGACAUGGCGAGCCGCCGGGCGCCAGGGGAGAAGCGUUGGCAGCUGGUGCGCUGGUACGUGCAGGAAGGGCGUUUCCGAAUCGAGGAGAGAACGCUGACAGCCUUCCAGUGGCUCUACAGCCCUCAGCAACAUCGCAUCCUCAGUCGUGCUGACCUCGAGUCUCCCUCCAGGAUCGACAAGACCAUGCUGGCAAGCCUGAAGGUCAAGAAGCAGGAGCUGGCCAACAGCUCGGAUGUGACCCUCCCAGACCGGUCGCUGUCCCCUCCUCUCACGGCGCCUCCCACCAUGAAGUCGGCGGAGUUCUUUGAGAUGUUGGAGAAAAUGCAGGGGAUCAAGCUUGAAGAGCAGAAGCCGGGACCCCAGAAGAAGAAGGAUGACUAUAUCCCGUAUCCCAGCAUCGAUGAGGUUGUGGAGAAAGGAGGCCCGUACCCCCUGAUUGUCCUGCCCCAGUUUGGGGGCUAUUGGAUUGAGGACCCGGAGAACGUGGGCACACCGACCUCCCUGGGCAGCAGCAUCUGCGAGGAGGAGGAAGAGGACGGCCUCAGCCCCAACACCUUCGGCUACAAGCUCGAAUGCAAGGGCGAGGCCCGGGCCUAUCGCAGGCACUUCCUAGGGAAGGACCAUCUAAACUUUUACUGUACUGGCAGUAGUUUGGGAAACUUGCUUCUGUCCAUCAAGUGCGAGGAGGCCGAGAGCAUUGAGUACCUUCGGAUCAUUCUCAGAUCCAAGGUGAAGACAGUGCAUGAGCGGAUUCCCUUGGCUGGACUGAGCAAGUUACCCAGCAUCCCUCAGAUUGCAAAGGCUUUCUGUGAUGAUGCAGUGGGGCUGAAAUUCAGCCCUGUCCUGUACCCCAAGGCCUCCCAAAUGAUUGUGUCGUAUGACGAGCACGAUGUCAAGAAUACCUUCAAAUUUGGGGUCAUUUAUCAGAAAGCCAGGCAGACCCAGGAGGAGGAGCUGUUUGGGAACAAUGAAGAGAGCCCAGCUUUCAAGGAGUUCUUGGACCAGCUGGGAGACACGAUCACCCUGCAGGACUUCAAAGGUUUCCGAGGAGGCCUGGAUGUGACCCACGGACAGACGGGAGUGGAAUCAGUGUACACGGCAUUCCGGGACAGGGAGAUCAUGUUUCACGUCUCCACAAAGCUGCCGUUUACCGAGGGUGACGCCCAGCAGCUCCAGAGAAAGAGACACAUUGGGAAUGACAUCGUGGCCAUCAUCUUCCAAGAAGAAAACACACCAUUUGUCCCCGAUAUGAUUGCCUCCAACUUUUUACAUGCCUACAUUGUGGUGCAGGUUGAGAGCCCGGGCACAGAGACCACAUCCUACAAGGUCUCAGUCACUGCGCGGGAAGACGUGCCCACCUUUGGCCCACCUCUGCCCAGUCCCCCUGUUUUCCAGAAGGGCCCGGAGUUCAGGGAAUUCCUGCUCACCAAGCUCACCAAUGCAGAGAACGCUUGCUGCAAGUCGGACAAGUUUGCGAAGCUAGAGGAUCGGACAAGGGCCGCCCUCCUAGACAAUCUUCACGACGAGCUGCAUGCCCACACACAGGCCAUGCUGGGACUGGGCCCAGAAGAGGACAAGUUUGAAAAUGGGGGCCACGGGGGAUUCCUGGAGUCUUUUAAGAGGGCCAUUCGCGUGCGCAGCCACUCCAUGGAGACCAUGGUGAGCAGCCAGAAGAAGCCUCACAGUGGGGGCCUCCCUGGCAGCCUCAGCGGGGGCAUCUCCCACAACAGCACGGAGGUCACCAAGACCACCUUCUCGCCUCCAGUGGCAGCGGCAACAGCGAAGAACCAGUCACGAAGCCCCAUCAAGCGACGGUCGGGGCUCUUCCCCCGUCUGCACACAGGCUCUGAAGGCCAAGGGGACAGCCGGGCACGAUGUGACAGUGCAUCCAGCAACCCCAAGACCCCGGAUGGUGGGCACUCUUCUCAGGAGAUAAAGUCUGAGACCUCAUCGAAUCCCAGCUCUCCGGAAAUCUGCCCCAACAAGGAGAAGCCCUUCAUAAAGUUGAAGGAGAAUGGCCGAGCCAACAUCUCCCGCUCCUCCUCCAGCACCAGCAGCUUCAGCAGCACGGCAGGGGAGGGCGAGACCUUGGAGGAGUGUGACAGUGGGCCAGCCGUCCACAACCUCACCCUUCAAGCAGGAGGUGUUUGUCUACAGCCCGUCCCCGAGCAGCGAGAGCCCCAGCCUGGCAGCAGCCGCCACCCCCAUCAUCAUGAGCCGGAGUCCUACAGAUGCCAAAAGCAGAAACUCCCCGAGGUCAAACCUGAAAUUCCGCUUUGAUAAGCUCAGUCAUGCCAGCUCCAGUGCGGGUCACUAAUAUAGAAGAGGAGUCCUUCGCCUGUCAAAGGGAAGCUCUGAUUCUGUCUCGGAGAAGGCUCCUAUUCCAGCAUUUGGGGGUGUCGUCCACUACUCUGUCACAGGCCUGCUGCCCCACUGGCCACCUGCCCACCAGACCAGCUGUCUGUCUCAGUGUCCAGACCUGGCCCAGCCCUGCCUGCCUCUUCGCCAAGACACCCUGCCAGCCCCUCCUCAUCUCUAGUCCAGGCCUCCUUCCUCCAAGCUCCCCUGCUCCUGACCACCCAAUUUGCUAUGUGUCUGGGUCGUUUGUCAUCUUGUUUUGUCUGCAGAGGCAAGAGUUGGGUAAGGGGGGAUCUGGGUACUGGUGACUCAGAGACCGGAGAGGCAGAGAGAGUGGCGAGGUGGGGAGCAGAGGCUGGCAGCAGGGGAAGGGACAGUGCUCUAUCCUGGAGGUGGCAGGCACAGCGAAUGAAUUUAGUGGUAGUGGAGGAAGCACUUUUCCAGAAGCCAAAAUGCGUAGCUCCUCGAAGUUGCCCUGACAGAAAUCAGCUCUGUUGCUCCCAUCUCGGGAGGUCCCAAACAUCCGUUUGCUUCUGUGCUAGGAACUUCGUACCCAUUUGCUGACCUCAGGCCGCAGGCAGCGUCCAUGCCUGCCGCCAGUGUGUCUUGAGCAGCCCAGUGGUUGGAGCUGACACAGCGCUGGGUGUGUGUGGGAGCAGGUGCCCCUCUCUUCCUUGACGGCCCAAUUUUGCACAAGCUCCUGAUUGUGGUCACUGUGGGACCAGCCCUGUGUCAGUCUCUCCCCUUUGAGCAGAUGUUUUUCCCAUGAAGGGAUGGGCAGAUGGGAGUGAGAAGGAAUUCUUGGAGAGCAAGCCAGUGAGCGCUGGGGCCUUGGCCGAGGAAAACCUCAGACCCAAGGGCUAGGCUGGGGUCCAGGUCUCUGUUGGUUGUGGAGGUUCGUGGGAGCGUGCCUUGAGCCUACCUCUUAGGUGAGAGCCGGAGACGUGAGGUGGGGAUGGCUUGUCAGGUUUGGUCAGGCCCAUGUGUGGGUGGAGAACUUGGCUGUGGCGAAGGAGUAGUGUCCUGCAUUUUAUGUUCCUGGCAUCUGUGGGGGGCCCACGGCUGCCUGGGGGGUGCUCUUUCGAGCUACUGUGCCCUUUGGCUGUAUCAAGGCUUGGUCCCCCAGUCCUCCUCUUCCCCUCUCCAACUGUGAGUCCACGGGCAGUUGUCACACUGGUGGGAUUCCUGUAACCUGGGCCCCAGCGGGGUGCAGCUCCGACUGCAGACUGCUGCCUGCACCUCGGCCGGGCCACCUUUGCUGGGAUGAGCCCACUCUCCUCUGAGCAGAAGCCCGCUCCUCGCUUUUCACCCACCCGAGUCUGCAGGGCGUUUCUGCUCAUUGGCCCCAGUGGGGUUCAAGGCAGGGCGUCCUCCAAGUAAAAUAUCGAGUCUGAAGAGCAGACCCUUAGAGGUGCUGCAGCGUCAAGUGCAUAUGGGGUGGCACGGAGGUGCCACCGGGCUGCCAAGGUGACGCUGGCUGGGCCCCUGCUUUCCUGAGCAGACGACAAGAAUUUCCAACCAAAUGCUUUAUUUGCAUUGGGAGCUGGGUCUAUUCCCAAGGCAAGGCACAUAAACGUUAUACUUGUUUUUGGCUGUUUCCCCAUCGCUUUUGCCAUGAGAGCAAAACCUCGAUCCUUCGUUCCCCACUCACCUGGAUGUCGCGGGAUCCUAUUUGCAGGCCGAUGGACCUCUCCCCUCACACUGUUUGGGAAAUGUGUUUACUUAACGUACUAGUCCAGUAAAAUUUAUUCUAGUUAGAAAGUCAACAAAUGUCUGUUUAGCUUUUAUGAAAAAUCUCUAGAGCAGCACCCAUGGCUGGAAUGAGGCCUGCGGAUCCUGGCAGCGUCCUGUUGGCUGGGUUUCUGAAGGAACUUGGAAGGUCAAACUGUAUUUCUGUAAAAACAAUUCCAGGGCUCUGGCUUGCUUCUCUGGGGAGCUGGUAUUUACAGCUGCUUAGUGGUUGUGCUGUGUUGUGUUGUGCUCUGGGGGCCCCCUGAGGUUUCCAGGUUGCCCCAACUCUAUCCUACUUGGGGACCUCAUCCCGAUCGCCCCCUGCUGCUCUGGCCGCUCUCCCUGCAGCCCCCACCUCCUGGGAGGGCUGUGCUCCUGCCUGUGAGCCAGUGGCCAGGAUGGCUGGGUGUGGCCAGGGAAACUGCAAGGUGCAGGUUUGUUCCCUAAGAAGCAGCCCUGAGAGGUGGUGUCUACCUUCUGUUUGCUCAUGGGGGUACUCUGGGUAGGAUCUGAAAUGUCCCUCCCUCCGGGUCCUGCGUCACCAUCUCUGGGAAGUCCAUGCGGUGGCUUCCACAGUGUAGCUGCCCUGCCCCCCUGAGGUCCCAGGGCUGAAUAGCACCGAGCAGUCUCCCCUCACCCUGGGGGACUCUGGGGGCAGGCAGCUUGCGUUCCUGGAUGCUGCUUCCUCCACACUCCCUUUGCAUCUUCUCUGGCCCUAAAUGUCUUUCCUGUUAUCGCUGUGCACAGUCUUGGGGCUCAAGGAUUUGCUCACGCUUCAUCGGUCCUUGUGACUAGACUCAUCCUAGUAUUUGGUGGUCAUGCUGGUGUUUGAGGCAUCCUGCAUGUCAUCUGGACACAGGAGAAGUGUUUACUGGACACGUCUCUGGCUCUGGGAACUGCCUGACUCACGGAAGAAACUAUACUUGUCAUCCUCUAGGGCACUCAGAUGCUUCUGCUCGCUUGAUGCUUGAAUACAGAUGCAGAAAGAGCUUGAGAUAGAAGGCCACAGCUAGAGUUUCUGUCCACACUGAUCAGUGGAACAUGGUAUUUCUUGAAAAGCAUUUUGUGGUCCAGCCUUGACACAGGGCCUUUUGGGCCCCUUUGAGCAUCUCAUCCAACCACGUCAUCUCCCAGAUGAGAAAUCUCUGCUCCAGUGAGGGGACAACAACUUGCUUGAGGUCACAUCACCAACUGGUGGCAAAGCUGGCAUUAGAACCCACAACCCAGGGCCCUUGCUUUGGCACCGCCUACAUGGUUGGUUCAAGUGGCUGCAUUUCUUGGGACCUGAGUUUUGUGGAAGCCAGUUAGCUGGUGUCUUGGCACUGACUGGGAGAGGUCAGCAGUCAGGGUGCUGUAGGGGCCUCAGUUUCUCUUCUUUUCAUCAGGUCGGAUAUUCUCUCAGAUUUCUUAGUGAGGGCCUUGGGGUUUCGGAUGCAGCUUGGGCAAAGGAAAUGAGGAGGGAAAGAGAUGUCAGUGGGUUGUGCCUCAGGGCUGUCGGCUCUUCCACUCUGGUCUAUAAGGGGGAUAGAGGCCAGGGCAGAGAUGCAGUUAACCAACCUUCAGUUUCCCCUUUUCAAGUUAAAAAGUGUAAAAGAAAACUCUGGUUUUCCUAGAUCCUUCAACAAGGGUCGUUAGAUUAGUAAAAACGUAGACUCAAGUGAUGAGGUGAGACAACAGCCUGUUUCAGUUUCUUACCCUGACUGUUCAAGGUGCCGACGCAAACACUACCUUCUUCAUUCAAUUCGGAGUCAACAGAGACAGGUCUGUUGUGGGGGAAUGGUUGGGAUUCAGGUCGAUCUUACGGCUGCAGGUGGCCAGCAGGGACCUGGCCAGUCAGCCAUGCUUGGGACCCUCCGGCUCCUCCCCCAGCCUCUCUCCAGCCACCCCUUUCUCAAAGGCAAGGGUGGGUCAGUGGAGUUUGUCAAGGUGAUCCCUGCAGCCUGCUGGGGGGCUAGUUGGAGCAUUCCUCUACAAGCUCUGAUGCCUGUUUUACCCCCAGCCUCUUGCCCACCCCAACCCCACGUCGCCCUGCUUUCAGUUUAGCCAUGUGCCUCUUUGGGAGGAAGGAGACAGGCCCUGCUAAGGCCAAGGAUAGUGGAGCCCCGCCUAGUGAGAGGCUGUUGGGGCAGUGGCUCUGUCCUGUGCCUUACCAUCCCUGGGGAGAGGCUGUUUGGCCGGAAGACUGGAAUUUAAAUGCCAUCGUCUUUGAUAUUGUGACAUUUCCGCUUGGAAGGGUCCACCCCCCUUCCCGCUCCUUCGCAUGUGUGCCAACUCCCCCCUGUCCUGGCGUUCUUCCACACUCCAGCCGGGGAGUGCUGACGUUUAAGUGUGAGGAGAUUCCUCUGUGUGGUAGAACCUAAGAAGUGUAGCUUGGAAAUGAUCCACGUGAUGGUGAGUUUCUUUUUUCCCUCUUCCUGAGGUGAUUUGUAGACCCUGACUGCCUAUGUAAUGUAAAUAGUGUACAUUUAAUUUAUUGCUAUGGUAGCACAUUGUAUUUGUUAAUGUAUAAAACAAAUUCUAAAAGGUCAACAAAUGUAUAUUUUGUUGCUUAAAUGUGUCUUUGCAGAAAUUGACAAUAAAUAACAUAUUUUGUGUCCA